UCCCUGUAGCUGAGAUGGUGAAGAAUCUGCCUACAAUGCAGGAGACCUGGGUUUGAUCCCCAGGCGGGGAA
Molecule: transfer RNA, 71 nt
Filed under: Ovis aries (sheep)
Lineage: Eukaryota; Metazoa; Chordata; Mammalia; Artiodactyla; Bovidae
Rfam family: tRNA
About the family: Transfer RNA (tRNA) molecules are approximately 80 nucleotides in length.
Source: Rfam by way of RNAcentral